AGCCGGAGAUCGGAGGAAGAGCAGUAGUGCAGAGCCAACCUCAGGUUCACAGAGGAGGAGUUGCAGAGUGACCAGACUCAACAGCAAAUAGAAAUUGUGAAAAAACUGGGGUAGGGCAUCACUGUAUGGGACUGUUUUUAUGCUUUUAUACUAUCAAAUAUAUUUUUAAUAAAACACAUUUCCACAGAA
This is a long non-coding RNA of Lates calcarifer (barramundi perch), 189 nucleotides long. RefSeq lists it as uncharacterized. The transcript has 2 exons. The record is from RefSeq and is a predicted model, not a curated record. Lineage: Eukaryota; Metazoa; Chordata; Actinopteri; Centropomidae.